UAUGCUAAUAUUUUGAGAAGGACCUGUAGAUGUUUUCUGUUAUCUCCUCUCACUCCUGCUAAUCAGUGUUAAUUAGUCAAUCUCCCUCAGUAUUCCUCAGUCUCCUUUCCACCAGCUGCACCUGAUUUUCACCCUGAUUAUCCUCCUCAGUUCAUUGGUCCUUACUCCACUUCCCUCAGUUUUUAAACUCUCUGUGUUUCAUUGCUCUCCUGAUAUCUACCUGUAUACUACCCUACUUGCUUCCUGGCUCCUUGUCUGCUGCACUGUCUGGCUUACCCAUGGCUUGGAGGAGGCUGAGCAGAUUUUCCGUGAAGCGUGGGAGGUUGUUUGUCAACAGUUACCUCCAUGUCAGUCUCAUCUCCAACUGUCUCCAUGGUUGGAACGUCUCCAGAGCCACAACAACAGCUCCGCCAGUUGCUGUAAUGCUCUCCCAAACUCCUCCGUGGCUCAAAGGCUGCAGAACUUCUCCAACCUCCAGACACGGUUCUCUGAGGGUCCUCUAUGCUCCUUCAUGACACCGGCUUCCAGACCAGAUGUUCUCCUGUUCAUGGUUCUGUUAUCCCUGGUUCCUGAAUUUCUGUGUCCUAAGUUUAGUCUUUGUUUGAUUAAAUGUAUCCAUCUAUGAUGUGCCUGUCAAUGUCCUACUGCCGCUUUGGUCCUUCACCACUGCAAACCACGACACAAGGUGGGUAAGGUACCAUGAAAUUGUACCAAAGUAAAGUAGCAUUUAUUAGAAUUAAAAGGUAUGGUGCAGUAAACAUCCUUGAAGUCCUUUUUUUUUUUUUUUAAUGUUACUCCAGUCACUAUAACCAAGUUACUCAGUUUAGCUGAGCAACUAGUUACUGUCCACUGACCACUGGUCUCUUGUGAUUUGGUAAAAUGUUGUUUUUUAUAAUUCUGGCUCCAUGCUAUCUUAUCUGGCCUUUGUUAGGUACUUGCUGUUCUUCAUUUGUCAUUGUUCCAUCAGUACUGUGUGUAUUGCUUUUACAGUUUCAAAUGUUUUGCUUGUGAUUUGUAGCCCUACUAUACUCUCCUCAUAAGACAUUAAAAUUGCACUUGCCUUACUUUAAA
Girardinichthys multiradiatus is the source of this 1071-nucleotide long non-coding RNA. RefSeq lists it as uncharacterized. The record is from RefSeq and is a predicted model, not a curated record. Lineage: Eukaryota; Metazoa; Chordata; Actinopteri; Cyprinodontiformes; Goodeidae. The transcript has 2 exons.